Molecule: long non-coding RNA, 351 nt
Organism: Engraulis encrasicolus (European anchovy)
Lineage: Eukaryota; Metazoa; Chordata; Actinopteri; Clupeiformes; Engraulidae
Exons: 3
Source: RefSeq, a predicted model, not a curated record
AGGAGUCUGUCUCUGAGGGGAGACCACCCUCUCCUGCACCCACCUGUGUGUCUAUGAAGAGCGAUCAGUCCAAGGCUUCAGGCAUUAAUUUCAAAGGACCAGACUCUUCACCCAAACAGAUGGAGGAGUCUGUCUCUGAGGGGAGACCUCCCUCUCCUGCACCCACCUGUGUGUCCAUGAAGAGUUAUCAGUCCAAGACUUCAGGAAUUAAUUUCAAAGGACCAGACUCUUCACCCAAACAGAUGGAGGAGUCUGAGGGGAGACCACCCUCUCCUGCACCCACCUGUGUGUCUAUGAAGAGCGAUCAGUCUAAGGCUUCAGGCAUCAAUUUCAAAGGACCAGACUCUUCAC